This 478-nucleotide ribosomal RNA is filed under the name uncultured bacterium. RNAcentral's name for it is "bacterial SSU rRNA". It matches the Rfam family "Bacterial small subunit ribosomal RNA", at positions 791 to 1266 of the family's 1533-position model. The record is from RNAcentral.
UAGUCCACGCCGUAAACGAUGGAUACUAGAUGUUCGGGUUUCGGCCUGAGUGUCUAAGCGAAAGCGAUAAGUAUCCCACCUGGGGAGUACGUUCGCAAGGAUGAAACUCAAAGGAAUUGACGGGGCCCGCACAAGCGGUGGAGCAUGUGGUUUAAUUCGACGCAACGCGAAGAACCUUACCUGGAUUUGACAUCCCGGGAAUCCUAUCGAAAGACUGGAGUGCCCUUCGGGGGCCCGGAGACAGGUGCUGCAUGGCUGUCGUCAACUCGUGUCGUGAGAUGUUGGGUUAAGUCCCGCAACGAGCGCAACCCUUGUCCUUAGUUGCCAGCACAUUAUGGUGGGAACUCUAAGGAGACUGCCGGUGACAAACCGGAGGAAGGUGGGGAUGACGUCAAGUCAUCAUGGGCCCUUAUGGGGCUGGGGGCUACACACGUGCUACAAUGGGCCGGCACAGAGAGCAGCGAACCCGCGAGGGGAA